GGUCACAAUGGUGUUAAGAUCUAAGGACCACACUUGGAACAGUUUUGCUAUCAAGGAGUGACUUUCAAAUUUUGGGACCAUUCAAAAAGGGAGCUGGGAGUCAGCCCACCAUGGAGAUGCUUGAUCAGAAGUGGUGGACUAAUUUUUGAUUGAAGGCACACGAAAGAGCUGGAUGAGGAAGCAUGCAGAGGGUGUCCGUACACUGGAGACUGAAAGAUCCAGUACAAGGUCUGGAGCUCACUACAGGUACCCUGCAAGUUCACAUCAGGCUGCCAAUGGGUCUGAUCUGGAAGCCAGAGAUGAUGUCCAAGGUGAAAGUGAAGACUGGAGCUUUCUGAAGAAACAGAAGCAGAUUCAGUAAGCAUAACUGCUUCCCAUUAUUCAAGCCAAAGAAAAAAAUUCAAGGAUACUUGAAUACAGUAUCAAUCACAGAGAAAUAUUCCUGAAGAUUUUUCCAGAGUUGAUAAUGAUAACUGCUCUGUCAGAUGCUCCUCCUUUUUAUUAAGCCAGGUAGCACAAUAAAGGCAAAUACUCAGCAAUCUCCAUUACCUAACACAGCCUAAGCUUGAAAGUGAGAAAUUUCAGUAAGCUUGCACAAAAGCUACACAGAGUUCUAAAUUUUAGAUCAGAGCUGCAACAUACUCCAGGCAAGGGGGCAAAGUAUUGGUGCUGU
Chinchilla lanigera (long-tailed chinchilla) is the source of this 673-nucleotide long non-coding RNA. RefSeq lists it as uncharacterized. Lineage: Eukaryota; Metazoa; Chordata; Mammalia; Rodentia; Chinchillidae. The transcript is spliced from 4 exons. The record is from RefSeq and is a predicted model, not a curated record.